GACGAACGCUGGCGGCGUGCUUAACACAUGCAAGUCGAACGGAAAGGCCCUAGUUUGCUGGAGUACUCGAGUGGCGAACGGGUGAGUAACACGUGGGUGAUCUGCCCUGCACUUCGGGAUAAGCCUGGGAAACUGGGUCUAAUACCGGAUAGGACCGCACUCUGGUGUGUGUGGUGGAAAGGUUUUUCUGGUGUGGGAUGAGCUCGCGGCCUAUCCGUUUGUUGGGGGGGUAAUGGCCUACCAAGACGGCGACGGGUAGCCGGCCUGAGAGGGUGGACGGUCACAUUGGGACUGAGAUACGGCCCAGACUCCUACGGGAGGCAGCAGUGGGGAAUAUUGCACAAUGGGGGAAACCCUGAUGCAGCGACGCCGCGUGGGGGAUGAAGGCCUUCGGGUUGUAAACUCCUUUCGCUAGGGACGAAGCUUUUUGUGACGGUACCUGGAGAAGAAGCACCGGCUAACUACGUG
RNAcentral lists this ribosomal RNA (468 nucleotides) under uncultured bacterium. RNAcentral's name for it is "partial 16S ribosomal RNA". It matches the Rfam family "Bacterial small subunit ribosomal RNA", at positions 28 to 507 of the family's 1533-position model. The record is from RNAcentral.